UACGGAGGGUGCAAGCGUUAUCCGGAUUCACUGGGUUUAAAGGGUGCGUAGGAGGGUAGGUAAGUCAGUGGUGAAAUCUUCGAGCUUAACUCGGAAACUGCCGUUGAUACUAUCUAUCUUGAAUACCGUGGAGGUGAGCGGAAUAUGUCAUGUAGCGGUGAAAUGCUUAGAUAUGACAUAGAACACCAAUUGCGAAGGCAGCUCGCUACAUAGUUAUUGACACUGAGGCACGAAAGCGUGGGGAUCAAACAGG
This 253-nucleotide ribosomal RNA is filed under the name uncultured bacterium. Its description in RNAcentral is "partial 16S ribosomal RNA". It matches the Rfam family "Bacterial small subunit ribosomal RNA", at positions 524 to 776 of the family's 1533-position model. The record is from RNAcentral.